GACGAACGCUGGCGGCGUGCUUAACACAUGCAAGUCGAACGGAAAGGCCCUGCUUUUGUGGGUUUCUCGAGUGGCGAACGGGUGAGUAACACGUGAGUAACCUGCCCUUGACUUUGUGAUAACUUCAGGAAACUGGGGCUAAUACCGGAUAGGAGCUCCUGCUGCAUGGUGGGGGUUGGAAAGUUUCGGCGGUUGGGGAUGGACUCGCGGCUUAUCAGCUUGUUGGUGGGGUAGUGGCUUACCAAGGCUUUGACGGGUAGCCGGCCUGAGAGGGUGACCGGCCACAUGGGGACUGAGAGACGGACCAGAAGGCUACGGGAGGCAGCAGUGGGGAAUAUUGCACAAUGGGGGGGAGCCUGAUGCAGAAACGCCGCGUGCGGGAUGACGGCCUUCGGGUUGUAAACAGAUUUGGCAUGUGACGAAGAGUGAGUGACGGUAAUGGGUAAAGAAGCAACGGCUAACUACGUG
RNAcentral lists this ribosomal RNA (468 nucleotides) under uncultured bacterium. Its description in RNAcentral is "partial 16S ribosomal RNA". It matches the Rfam family "Bacterial small subunit ribosomal RNA", at positions 28 to 507 of the family's 1533-position model. The record is from RNAcentral.